Molecule: ribosomal RNA, 503 nt
Filed under: uncultured bacterium
Lineage: Bacteria
Description: bacterial SSU rRNA
Rfam family: Bacterial small subunit ribosomal RNA
Source: RNAcentral
UCAGAACGAACGCUGGCGGCGCGUUUAAGCAUGCAAGUCGAGCGGCAAGGGCCUUCGGGCCCUAGAGCGGCGGACGGGUGAGUAACACGUGGACAAUCUGCCCCCCGGCCCGGGAUAGCCCAGGGAAACCUGGAUUAAUACCGGAUGAGACGGGACCCGCGAUGGCGGGACCCGGGAAAGGCGCUGCGGCGCCGCCGGGGGAUGAGUCUGCGUCCCAUUAGCUAGACGGCGGGGUAACGGCCCACCGUGGCGACGAUGGGUAGCCGGCCUGAGAGGGUGGACGGCCACAUUGGAACUGAGACACGGUCCAGACUCCUACGGGAGGCAGCAGCUAAGAAUCUUCCGCAAUGGGCGAAAGCCUGACGGAAGCGACGCCGCGUGAACGAAGAAGGCCGUGAGGUUGUAAAGUUCUUUUCGGGAGGGGGAACAACCGUGGCAGGGAAUGGCCGCGGGAUGACGUGAAUCCCGGAAUAAGCCCCGGCUAACUACGUGCCAGCCGCCGC